RNAcentral lists this ribosomal RNA (293 nucleotides) under uncultured bacterium. RNAcentral describes it as "partial 16S ribosomal RNA". It matches the Rfam family "Archaeal small subunit ribosomal RNA", at positions 455 to 747 of the family's 1478-position model. The record is from RNAcentral.
GUGCCAGCAGCCGCGGUAAUACCGGCAGCCCGAGUGGUGGCCGAUAUUAUUGGGCCUAAAGCGUCCGUAGCUGGCCGAACAAGUCCAUCGGGAAAUCCACUCGCUCAACGAGUGGCCGUCCGGUGGAAACUCCAUACCUUGGGACCGGAAGGCUCGAAGGGUACGGCCGGGGUAGGAGUGAAAUCCUGUAAUCCCGUCCGGACCACCGAUGGCGAAAGCACUUCGAGAAAACGGAUCCGACAGUGAGGGACGAAAGCUAAGAUCGCGAACCGGAUUAGAUACCCGAGUAGUCC